RNAcentral lists this ribosomal RNA (497 nucleotides) under uncultured bacterium. RNAcentral's name for it is "partial 16S ribosomal RNA". It matches the Rfam family "Bacterial small subunit ribosomal RNA", at positions 28 to 507 of the family's 1533-position model. The record is from RNAcentral.
GAUGAACGCUGGCGGCGUGCCUAAUACAUGCAAGUCGAGCGAACGGACGAGACGCUUGCUUCUCUGAUGUUAGCGGCGGACGGGUGAGUAACACGUGGAUAACCUACCUAUCAGACUGGGAUAACUUCGGGAAACCGGCGCUAAUCCCGGAUAAUAUUUUGAACCGCAUUGUUCAAUAGUGAAAGACGGUCUUGCUGUCACUUAUAGAUGCAUCCGCGCUUCAUUAGCUAGUUGGUAAGGUAACGGCUUACCAAGGCAACGAUGCAUAGCCGACCUGAGAGAGUGAUCGGCCACACUGGAACUGGGACACGGUCAAGACUCCUAAGGGAGGCAGCAGUAGGGAAUCUUCCGCAAUGGGCGAAAGCCUGACGGAGCAACGCCGAGUGAGUGAUGAAGGUCUUCGGAUCGUAAAACUCUGUUAUUAGGGAAGAACAUAUGUGUAAGUAACUGUGCACAUCUUGACGGUACCUAAUCAGAAAGCCACGGCUAACUACGUG